AACGAACGCUGGCGGCAUGCCUAACACAUGCAAGUCGAACGAAGGCUUCGGCCUUAGUGGCGCACGGGUGCGUAACGCGUGGGAAUCUGCCCCUCGGUUCGGAAUAACAGUUAGAAAUGACUGCUAAUACCGGAUGAUGACUUCGGUCCAAAGAUUUAUCGCAGAGGGAUGAGCCCGCGUAAGAUUAGGUAGUUGGUGGGGUAAAGGCCUACCAAGCCGACGAUCUGUAGCUGGUCUGAGAGGAUGAUCAGCCACACUGGGACUGAGACACGGCCCAGACUCCUACGGGAGGCAGCAGUGGGGAAUAUUGGACAAUGGGCGAAAGCCUGAUCCAGCAAUGCCGCGUGAGUGAUGAAGGCCUUAGGGUUGUAAAGCUCUUUUACCAGGGAUGAUAAUGACAGUACCUGGAGAAUAAGCUCCGGCUAACUCCGUGCCAGCCGCCGCGGUAA
RNAcentral lists this ribosomal RNA (449 nucleotides) under uncultured bacterium. RNAcentral describes it as "partial 16S ribosomal RNA". It matches the Rfam family "Bacterial small subunit ribosomal RNA", at positions 29 to 523 of the family's 1533-position model. The record is from RNAcentral.